UGCGGCGACGUGGGCGGUUCGCUGCCCGCGACGUUGUGAGAAGUCCACCUGAACCUUAUCAUUUAGAGGAAGGAGAAGUCGUAACAAGGUUUUCCGUAGGUGAACCUGCGGAAGGAUCAUUG
RNAcentral lists this ribosomal RNA (122 nucleotides) under Astragalus caprinus subsp. caprinus. RNAcentral's name for it is "partial 18S ribosomal RNA". It matches the Rfam family "Eukaryotic small subunit ribosomal RNA", at positions 1716 to 1831 of the family's 1831-position model. Lineage: Eukaryota; Viridiplantae; Streptophyta; Magnoliopsida; Fabales; Fabaceae. The record is from RNAcentral.